AGAUUCCUAAAUCAUAGUGUUAAUUCACAUGAUCCCAUUAGAACUCCACAAUUAAGUGCGCUUAGGUUAGAGUAGUACUGGGAUGGGUAACCGCCCGAGAAUUCAGAAUGUCUC
Non-coding RNA from Picea glauca (white spruce), 114 nucleotides. The record is from Rfam. NCBI's taxonomy places the organism in Eukaryota, Viridiplantae, Streptophyta, Pinopsida, Pinales, Pinaceae.